Non-coding RNA from Vicia faba (fava bean), 336 nucleotides. The record is from the annotation of a GenBank genome assembly. Lineage: Eukaryota; Viridiplantae; Streptophyta; Magnoliopsida; Fabales; Fabaceae.
AUUAAAACAAACAAACAAAAAAGAAAUCUCCUCCUUCCCACAAACCUUCAUCUCUCUUCUGCCAUGUUAACAAAACAAAACCCCUUUCUCUCAAGUUCUCAAUUAAUCCUCUCUCACGAUAACCUCUUCUCUCUCAGCCUCAAAAUCCGUAAUGAACACUGUAAACUGUGGAACAAUCCAGGUAUGCUUCAAUAUUACUGCUUCCUCAUCUCAGUUUCAGUUAUGUUCUUCAAGACAGAUCUACUUAUGUUGUUACUGUUGCUGCUAAUUGCUAUUUACUCCCAGCGUUGGAAGAGGGAGUUAUGCGAGGUGUUUGGCGGUGAUAAAAAAAGCUAG